This 71-nucleotide transfer RNA is filed under the name Bos taurus (domestic cattle). It matches the Rfam family "tRNA". From Rfam's summary of the family: Transfer RNA (tRNA) molecules are approximately 80 nucleotides in length. Their secondary structure includes four short double-helical elements and three loops (D, anti-codon, and T loops). Further hydrogen bonds mediate the characteristic L-shaped molecular structure. tRNAs have two regions of fundamental functional importance: the anti-codon, which is responsible for specific mRNA codon recognition, and the 3' end, to which the tRNAs corresponding amino acid is attached (by aminoacyl-tRNA synthetases). tRNAs cope with the degeneracy of the genetic code in two manners: having more than one tRNA (with a specific anti-codon) for a particular amino acid; and 'wobble' base-pairing, i.e. permitting non-standard base-pairing at the 3rd anti-codon position. Lineage: Eukaryota; Metazoa; Chordata; Mammalia; Artiodactyla; Bovidae. The record is from Rfam by way of RNAcentral. RNAcentral also lists the same sequence under 3 other names.
UCCCAGGUGGCUGAGUGAUAAAGACUCUGCCUGAUAAGCAGGAGACCUGGGUUCUAGCCCUGGGUUGGGAA